Molecule: ribosomal RNA, 579 nt
Filed under: uncultured bacterium
Lineage: Bacteria
Description: bacterial SSU rRNA
Rfam family: Bacterial small subunit ribosomal RNA
Source: RNAcentral
ACGGGUGCUUAACACGUGGGCAACCUGCCAUGAAGUGGGGGAUAGCUCGCCGAAAGGCGAAUUAAUACCGCAUGUGAUUAGAGAGGACAUCCUUUCGAAAUUAAAGUCGGGGCAACCUGACGCUUCUUGUGGGGCCCGCGGCCUAUCAGCUAGUUGGUGAGGUAACGGCUCACCAAGGCUUUGACGGGUAGCUGGUCUGAGAGGACGACCAGCCACACUGGGACUGAGACACGGCCCAGACACCUACGGGUGGCAGCAGUCGAGAAUUUUUGACAAUGGGGGAAACCCUGAUCGAGCGACGCCGCGUGGAGGAUGAAGGUCUUCGGAUUAUAAACUCCUGUCAUUUGGGAACAAGGUGCACACGUUAACUGCGUGUGUAUUGAUAGUACCAGAAGAGGAAGGGACGGCUAACUCUGUGCCAGCAGCCGCGGUAAUACAGAGGUCUCAAGCGUUGUUCGGAUUCAUUGGGCGUAAAGGGUGCGUAGGCGGCGCGGUAAGUCGGGUGUGAAAUCUCGGAGCUUAACUCCGAAACUGCAUUCGAUACUGCCGUGCUUGAGGACUGGAGAGGAGACUGGAAUU